Long non-coding RNA from Cottoperca gobio, 960 nucleotides. RefSeq lists it as uncharacterized. NCBI's taxonomy places the organism in Eukaryota, Metazoa, Chordata, Actinopteri, Perciformes, Bovichtidae. The record is from RefSeq and is a predicted model, not a curated record. The transcript is spliced from 3 exons.
UUAGGCACAGAGAAAGCUUCUUGUUCUUUAAGGAUUUGGCUCACAAAUAACGCCAAGCCAGGGCCAAGGCAACUAGCUUGCACCCUGACAGGAUAGUAGACAGACUUCUGCAUUUGAGUGUGUUUGGGGGAUAUUUCUGCAUCUUUCCGCAUUUUGGGCUCUUUCCUCAUCACCUCCUCUCUCUCCGUCUACUUUCUAAUUUCAUCCUACUCCAAAGAUGGGUGACUAUUUUUACCAUUUUUCUCUUCUUUAUUUUACUCUAAAUUGACAGGAUUUUAAGGAUUAACUGAUGGCCCAUUCUUUGUGUUUUGUCUGUGUGAAAUAGAAGUGAAGGCAUGGCCCUCAGCAGGCCUCCAUCAUACAGAGUCUAGCAAACUGCUAGCAAUCGCCUUAAAACAGCUGUAAAUACUUGUCCAGUGAACUCCUCCCGCUGCCAUGAAGGAACUUUAAUCCAGCUGGAAGAACAAAUGCUGUGGGCUCCCUGAAGUGGUGCAACGCCGGGUCAUUGGAGAGCUACUGCAUCGUGUUUGGGAACAGAACAGUCUGUGUUAUUUCAGCACAGCCUGUUGGAUGAAGGGCCAUUUCACAGGCAUGUUGGAUUAAUCUUUGGCAGGAUCUCUCCAGGAUCAAACUAAAUUGGAUGUUUAACCUCACGUGUCCUCGAGCUGAGAGGUAUUUUGUGAUAAACCAGGAUAGAGAGGAUUGAAUCUGACCCACAUUGGGUUAAACAUAACAUACUUGUACAUUUAUUUGAACUGAAUCCUUAUGAAAUGAUGAAAAUAAAGUGUGUAUACACAGGUGAGUGUAAUCUAAACCCUGAAAAAAUAAUUAAAUUCAUAACAUUAUGUUAAUGCAAUAGAUCACUCAGUGCAAAAAGAAGACAUAGUUAGGCCUCUGUCCAGUCUUUGACCCUAGUCCACUUUUUAUUUUUAUUAUAAAUAAAAUACUUUUGAAUAUUCA